RNAcentral lists this ribosomal RNA (301 nucleotides) under uncultured bacterium. RNAcentral's name for it is "partial 16S ribosomal RNA". It matches the Rfam family "Bacterial small subunit ribosomal RNA", at positions 509 to 809 of the family's 1533-position model. The record is from RNAcentral.
CAGCCGCCACGGGAAUACAGAGGGUGCGAGCGUUAAUCGGAUUUACUGGGCGUAAAGCGUGCGUAGGCGGCUUCUUAAGUCGGAUGUGAAAUCCCUGAGCUUAACUUAGGAAUUGCAUUCGAUACUGGGAAGCUAGAGUAUGGGAGAGGAUGGUAGAAUUCCAGGUGUAGCGGUGAAAUGCGUAGAGAUCUGGAGGAAUACCGAUGGCGAAGGCAGCCAUCUGGCCUAAUACUGACGCUGAGGUACGAAAGCAUGGGGAGCAAACAGGAUAAGAUACCCCAGUAGUCCCUGUCUCUUAUAA